This 450-nucleotide ribosomal RNA is filed under the name uncultured bacterium. RNAcentral's name for it is "bacterial SSU rRNA". It matches the Rfam family "Bacterial small subunit ribosomal RNA", at positions 28 to 478 of the family's 1533-position model. The record is from RNAcentral.
GAUGAACGCUGGCGGCGUGCUUAACACAUGCAAGUCGAACGAAGCACUUAUCUUUGAUUCUUCGGAUGAAGAGGUUUGUGACUGAGUGGCGGACGGGUGAGUAACGCGUGGGUAACCUGCCUCAUACAGGGGGAUAACAGUUAGAAAUGACUGCUAAUACCGCAUAAGACCACGGAGCCGCAUGGCUCAGUGGGAAAAACUCCGGUGGUAUGAGAUGGACCCGCGUCUGAUUAGGUAGUUGGUGGGGUAACGGCCUACCAAGCCAACGAUCAGUAGCCGACCUGAGAGGGUGACCGGCCACAUUGGGACUGAGACACGGCCCAAACUCCUACGGGAGGCAGCAGUGGGGAAUAUUGCACAAUGGGGGAAACCCUGAUGCAGCGACGCCGCGUGAGCGAAGAAGUAUUUCGGUAUGUAAAGCUCUAUCAGCAGGGAAGAAAAUGACGGUAC